AACGAACGCUGGCGGCAUGCCUAACACAUGCAAGUCGAACGAGACCUUCGGGUCUAGUGGCGCACGGGUGCGUAACGCGUGGGAACCUGCCCUUAGGUUCGGAAUAACUCCCCGAAAGGGGUGCUAAUACCGGAUAAUGUCUUCGGACCAAAGAUUUAUCGCCUUUGGAUGGGCCCGCGUUGGAUUAGCUAGUUGGUAGGGUAAAAGCCUACCAAGGCGACGAUCCAUAGCUGGUCUGAGAGGAUGAUCAGCCACACUGGGACUGAGACACGGCCCAGACUCCUACGGGAGGCAGCAGUGGGGAAUAUUGGACAAUGGGCGAAAGCCUGAUCCAGCAAUGCCGCGUGAUUGAUGAAGGCCUUAGGGUUGUAAAGCUCUUUUACCCGGGAUGAUAAUGACAGUACCGGGAGAAUAAGCUCCGGCUAACUCCGUG
This 433-nucleotide ribosomal RNA is filed under the name uncultured bacterium. Its description in RNAcentral is "partial 16S ribosomal RNA". It matches the Rfam family "Bacterial small subunit ribosomal RNA", at positions 29 to 507 of the family's 1533-position model. The record is from RNAcentral.